RNAcentral lists this transfer RNA (69 nucleotides) under Ensatina eschscholtzii klauberi (large-blotched Ensatina). Its description in RNAcentral is "tRNA-His". It matches the Rfam family "tRNA". From Rfam's summary of the family: Transfer RNA (tRNA) molecules are approximately 80 nucleotides in length. Their secondary structure includes four short double-helical elements and three loops (D, anti-codon, and T loops). Further hydrogen bonds mediate the characteristic L-shaped molecular structure. tRNAs have two regions of fundamental functional importance: the anti-codon, which is responsible for specific mRNA codon recognition, and the 3' end, to which the tRNAs corresponding amino acid is attached (by aminoacyl-tRNA synthetases). tRNAs cope with the degeneracy of the genetic code in two manners: having more than one tRNA (with a specific anti-codon) for a particular amino acid; and 'wobble' base-pairing, i.e. permitting non-standard base-pairing at the 3rd anti-codon position. Lineage: Eukaryota; Metazoa; Chordata; Amphibia; Caudata; Plethodontidae. The record is from RNAcentral.
GUAUACGUAAUUUAAUUAAAAUACUAGAUUGUGACUCUAGAUAUGAAAGUUCAAUUCUUUCCGUAAACC